CUCAGUCAUAGGUUCCCAAGCGUCAGCUCGUAGGGGAAUGGGAGGAGGCUGGGAGCUUUAAAUUGCCAAGUGUGACCAGAAAUCUAGGGAAGCCACUAAAGAAGUCAUGAGGAAACUGGCCAAGAUGUGGCCUGACUGAAGGCAGCGAGUGGUGAAACCACUACAGCUCAGACUGCCCAUGAACCUGUGUCAGUCAGGGGAGGGCAGAGGGCCAGACAGGGAGCAGGGAGGAAGCCAGGCCUUUUGCUGAGCUGAAUACAUCACCUGUGACCAGAGCCUGUGGACAGUUUAGCAAGUAGCCUCCCACUGUGCGUCUGUGCCUGGUGGGGCCAGGGAAGCUGUGAUGCAAAGCAGGAGAGAAACAUCAUUGCUUAUAAUAACAGUCUGGUGCCGCCCAGUAUCCACACAGAGCCAGAACUCAACAAGAGGUGGAAGGUUACAGGUGGCUGGAGCUGGAAGUCAUCCAAACAGCAUAGGUUGGCAGGACAACUUGAGGCUGGCCACAGGUACUGUGUUCUUCUGGUGAUCA
RNAcentral lists this long non-coding RNA (529 nucleotides) under Capra hircus (goat). RNAcentral describes it as "lncRNA (ENSCHIG00000004459.1)". Lineage: Eukaryota; Metazoa; Chordata; Mammalia; Artiodactyla; Bovidae. The record is from RNAcentral.